GGAAGUGAAAGUCGUAACAAGGUCCCCGUUGGUGAACCAGCGGAGGGAUCAUUACCGAGUCUUUCUACUCCCAAACCCCUGUGAACUUAUACCUUUACUGUUGCUUCGGCGGGUUAACGCCCCGGAAGGCCCAAAAAGCCGCCGGAACCAGGCGCCCGCCGGGGGACCCAAACUCUUGUAUUUCUUACUUUGCAUGUCUGAGUGGAAUCAUAAACAAAUGAAUCAAAACUUUCAACAACGGAUCUCUUGGUUCUG
This 255-nucleotide unclassified non-coding RNA is filed under the name plant metagenome. RNAcentral's name for it is "partial contains small subunit ribosomal RNA, internal transcribed spacer 1, and 5.8S ribosomal RNA". The stretch from base 1 to 54 matches the Rfam family "Eukaryotic small subunit ribosomal RNA", at positions 1778 to 1831 of the family's 1831-position model. The record is from RNAcentral.